GAUGAACGCUGGCGGCGUGCCUAAUACAUGCAAGUCGAGCGAACGGACGAGAAGCUUGCUUCUCUGAUGUUAGCGGCGGACGGGUGAGUAACACGUGGAUAACCUACCUAUAAGACUGGGAUAACUUCGGGAAACCGGAGCUAAUACCGGAUGAUAUUUUGAACCGCAUGGUUCAAAAGUGAAAGACGGUCUUGCUGUCACUUAUAGAUGGAUCCGCGCUGCAUUAGCUAGUUGGUAAGGUAACGGCUUACCAAGGCAACGAUGCAUAGCCGACCUGAGAGGGUGAUCGGCCACACUGGAACUGAGACACGGUCCAGACUCCUACGGGAGGCCGGAGUAGGGAAUCUUCCGCAAUGGGCGGAAGCCUGACGGAGCCAAGGCGCGUGAGUGAUGAAGGUCUUCGGAUCGUAAAACUCUGUUAUUAGGGAAGAACAUAUGUGUAAGUAACUGUGCACAUCUUGACGGUACCUAAUCAGAAAGCCACGGCUAACUACGUG
RNAcentral lists this ribosomal RNA (497 nucleotides) under uncultured bacterium. Its description in RNAcentral is "partial 16S ribosomal RNA". It matches the Rfam family "Bacterial small subunit ribosomal RNA", at positions 28 to 507 of the family's 1533-position model. The record is from RNAcentral.